This 73-nucleotide transfer RNA is filed under the name Anguilla anguilla (European eel). Its description in RNAcentral is "tRNA-OTHER". The record is from RNAcentral. Lineage: Eukaryota; Metazoa; Chordata; Actinopteri; Anguilliformes; Anguillidae.
CUGCCUGUGGCCUAGUGGGCAAGGUUACAGUCUUUAGAACAUGGGGUUGUAGGUUCAAGCCCAGCUAGGAACG